UUACCGCGGCUGCUGGCACGGAGUUAGCCGAUGCUUAUUCCUAUACUACCGGCAAACACCUACACGUAGAUGUAGUUCUUGGUAUAGAAAAGCAGUUUACAACCCAUAGGGCCGUCAAUCCUGCACGCGGGAUGGCUGCGUCAGAGUUUCCUCCAUUGCGCAAUAUUCCUCACUGCUGCCUCCCGUAGGAGUCUGGUCCGUGUCUCAGUACCAGUGUGGGGGAUCAUCCUCUCAGACCCCCUAGACAUCGUCGCCUUGGUGAGCCGUUACCUCACCAACUAGCUAAUGUCACGCAUGCCCAUCUAUAACCGCCGGAACUUUGAUUCAUUGAUGAUGCCAUCUGUGAAUGUCAUCAAGUAUUAAUUCCCGUUUCCGGGAGCUAUCCUUGUGUUAUAGGUAGGUUACAUACGCGUUACUCACCCGUGCGCCGGUCGUGUAUUCUCCGAAGAGAACCUUACCCCUCGACUUGCAUGUGUUAAGCCUCCCGCUAGCGUUCAUCCUGAGCCAUGAUCAAACUC
RNAcentral lists this ribosomal RNA (518 nucleotides) under uncultured Bacteroidota bacterium. RNAcentral's name for it is "uncultured Bacteroidetes bacterium partial 16S ribosomal RNA". Lineage: Bacteria; Pseudomonadati; Bacteroidota. The record is from RNAcentral.